GGAUGUGAGGGCAAUCUGGCUGCAACAUGUCACCCGGCUGAUCUGGCUGGCUAGGCGGGUGUCCCCUUCCUCCCUCACCGCUCCAUGUGCGUCCCUCCCGAAGCUGCGUGCUCGGUCGAAGAGGACGACCACCCCCGAUAGAGGAGGACCGUUUCCUCGGUCAAGGAGUAGCUGCGCUCCCCUGCUGGAACCUCCAAACAAGCUCUCAAGAAAGGGGUAAAAGACCUAACACUGUUUCUCUU
RNAcentral lists this small nuclear RNA (242 nucleotides) under Heterocephalus glaber (naked mole-rat). Its description in RNAcentral is "7SK RNA". It matches the Rfam family "7SK RNA", at positions 1 to 289 of the family's 331-position model. Rfam says of the family: 7SK was discovered as an abundant small nuclear RNA in the mid-70s but a possible function has only recently been suggested. Two independent studies have found that 7SK RNA binds the CDK9/cyclin T complex (known as elongation factor P-TEFb). Lineage: Eukaryota; Metazoa; Chordata; Mammalia; Rodentia; Bathyergidae. The record is from Rfam by way of RNAcentral.